Molecule: ribosomal RNA, 454 nt
Filed under: uncultured euryarchaeote
Lineage: Archaea; Methanobacteriati; Methanobacteriota
Description: bacterial SSU rRNA
Rfam family: Archaeal small subunit ribosomal RNA
Source: RNAcentral
CAAAACCAUUCACUUCCAUGGAUUAGUCGUAUCCCGAUAGCAGUCANNNUGGUUGAUCCUGCCAGACCUGACUGCUAUCGGGAUACGACUAAUCCAUGCAAGUCGAAUGGUUUUCGCAACCAUGGCAHHMUGCUCAGUAACACGUAGAUAACCUACCCUCAGGUGGGGGAUAAUCCCGGGAAACUGGGCAUAAUCCCCUAUAGAUAAUCUGCGCUGGAAUGMCWCGUUAUUCAAACCUCCGGGGCCUGAGGACGGGUCUGCGGCGGAUUAUGGUAGUAGGUGGGGUAACGGCCCACCUAGCCUGUGAUCGUACCGGACAUGAAAGUGUGUGCCGGGAGAUGGCCACUGAGACAAGGGGCCAGGCUACGGGGUGCAGCAGGAGCGAAAACUCUGCAAUGCUAACGCGUGACAGGGGAAUCCCGAGUGCGUCCUUAGCCGGACGCUUUUCUCGAGU